CAGUAGCCGCGGGAAUACGAAGGGUGCAAGCGUUAAUCGGAAUUACUGGGCGUAAAGCGCGCGUAGGUGGUUUGUUAAGUUGGAUGUGAAAUCCCUGGGCUCAACCUGGGAACUGCAUUCAAAACUGACUGACUAGAGUAUGGUAGAGGGUGGUGGAAUUUCCUGUGUAGCGGUGAAAUGCGUAGAUAUAGGAAGGAACACCAGUGGCGAAGGCGACCACCUGGACUAAUACUGACACUGAGGUGCGAAAGCGUUGGGAGCAAACAGGAUUAGAUACCCGCGUAGUCCCUGUCUCUUAUAC
RNAcentral lists this ribosomal RNA (301 nucleotides) under uncultured bacterium. RNAcentral describes it as "partial 16S ribosomal RNA". It matches the Rfam family "Bacterial small subunit ribosomal RNA", at positions 509 to 807 of the family's 1533-position model. The record is from RNAcentral.